Long non-coding RNA from Chelonus insularis, 1723 nucleotides. RefSeq lists it as uncharacterized. The transcript has 3 exons. NCBI's taxonomy places the organism in Eukaryota, Metazoa, Arthropoda, Insecta, Hymenoptera, Braconidae. The record is from RefSeq and is a predicted model, not a curated record.
UCUGUUGUUAUAAAUAUCAAUGUUUCAAAUCAGUAUGACCCUUCAAAAUCUUUGUUCAUUUUUUCAACAGAUACAACAAAUAUUACCUGUGUUAUAGGUUUGAAAAAUAUGUUUGGAGUAAAAUUGAUAUUAACAGAAUGUUUGGUUCCAAUUGCUCUUCAAAAGGCAUAUUGAGCUCAUGAAUCCACAUCCAAAGAAGAUCUCAGACCAUGUUUAGAAAGUGCUUAGCAGGCACUUGCGUUGAAUUUAUGAAGUGUUUAUUAGAUCACGUUCAGAGUACAUUAAAAUUCAUGGAUAAAUAAAAAUCUGCAUAUACCAAAAUAUGAACAAUGACACAUUGACAAACAUUAUUAUAUUUGCCAUUAAAAUAGCGGAGUAUAUUGGUUACAAGUUUUUAAUGAAAUGUAAACGAACUUAGCAAGAAAUCAUUCAAUAAUUCGAAUAAUAAAUAAUUCCAUAAUGAUAUGAUGCAACAUCAAUAUUUACUCAAUAUAAUAAAAAAUAAAUAUUCUCAACCAAUUUAAUUAUGAAACACACCGGAAGUAUUCAUACAAUAACUUCACACCUGCAUAAUGCAUAUAUAAAUAUUCUCAACAGUGAUUAUAAUAACUAUUUAUUUUUAGUUGAAAAUAGCUUUUAAAUAUUUGAAAAAUCUCGAGAAAAAUAUGAUACACUUUUAGAGGGCUAAUUUGAGGCUGAAAUGAGGAAGCGAAAAACCGAGUAGUUUGACGAGAUGAGACUGAUAAGCGGAAGAUAGAGCAGAAGAGAGACACUAUAGUGAUGGUAGUGGUUGUAGGAUGGAAGAGAAGAGAAAUGCAAGAGGGAGUGUGACAAUAGCCUGCAGAUUGGAGAGGCAGACGUACAGUCAGGCUGGUUGUACAGUCAAGAAUAUAAAAGCAAGAGAAACAGGAACGAUCGUUGAAAUCGCUAGCAGACUAUAAGUUUAUAAUACACUGUUGGCGCUGUCUGACCAUAGCCUGAUAUUACUACUCGUAUAAAUACAAAUAUCCUCAUUCGGGACCCAUCCUAGAGAUUCUUAUUUCCUUUUUCAAAUCUUUAUGUAAGUUUUAAACCAUUAGUAAGAGAUCUGGAUGAAUGUUUUAUAAAAUGAAAUAAAAAAACGAGAAAAAAAUAAUUUUCUUCAAUUGCAAACAGGAAGAGCUUUUUAGUAGCGAUAUUAUUAAGUCUAUCGGCAGUCAAUUUAGUGAAGAGAAAGACAUAGAAAACAACUUGGCGGGUAAUUCUCGGUAAAGACGACAGCCAAUUGGUUCGGCCAUUACCUGACAUUAUAUUUUAACGCUAGCAGGCAGAACGAAAUGCUUCCGGUAAUCAUUUUGCUGUCGGGCAUCUUUCGUUUUAGGCCAAGUUUCGUAUAAGUCUGAGCAAGAGAAGAAAGAGAAGAGAAACCGGAGGUGGACAAGUGGAUGCUGUGGGGGGAUAGAGGGGGGCUGCUGAGAGAAGAGUUUGGUAUAUAGAAGAUAGAAGGAAUGAAGGGUAGAGAAAACUUGGAAACGCGAGUCUGGGCCGGAAGAAGUCCGUCUCAGUGUUCGGAUGCCGUAGCUGUGGGGCGUAAUAUUGAUCAUGGAGUAAGCGGGGGUGUCUGCACUCCCCCUUAUCCCUCUUGGAAGUCGCACGGUGGAGAGAAAGAGCCGGUAACUGAGAGAAAGAGGAGCAACCCAUGGAGCUAGCAACCAGAGAGUGUUGCAACAGACCAACUGCAUCU